RNAcentral lists this long non-coding RNA (686 nucleotides) under Trifolium pratense (red clover). RNAcentral describes it as "long non-coding RNA (TPRA_LNC009117)". The record is from RNAcentral. Lineage: Eukaryota; Viridiplantae; Streptophyta; Magnoliopsida; Fabales; Fabaceae.
AUUGAAUUUUGAGAAAAUAAUAUAAUUCAAUGUCAUACACUACAUCCCUUCGACAUGAAGGGUUGGCGUUACAUAGCCUGAAACAAUCGCAAACAAGCAACAUGUGUGUAUGUGUGUUGUAAAAAGGCAAGUAAAACUUUGAAGUUGGUUAAGGAAGUUCAAAAUUAUACAAAUUUAAAAAUAUAAUUUUCCAAGUUAAAAUAAUUCCUAACCUGAUUUAUCCGUUAGAGCCUGACAGAACAUCGAAUAGGCCACAGCAACUCAACCAAGAAGUCUUAUGCACUAUAAGUGGAGCAGAUGCUACUGGAGGCUGCAUUUCAAUACAAUUCAGCAAAGAAAAGCUUUUAAAAUAAUAAUCUACACAAAAGUUCAGAAACUAAAAGUGUCUUAACGAAAAUCACACACACUAGUAAGUUCAAGAGUACAUUAAGAAAAGCUUCUAUAUAGGUUUGUUAGACAUUUUAUCAAACAUCUACAAUGCAUUUUAUCUCAAUUACUAAUUCUAUUUCUAACCCCAUUAAACUACCCACCCCCAAAAUCAAAUAGUUUAACUAAAAUUGAUAUUGGGAUAACAACUCACAAUAUUUUAACAAUUUGGCAUAUAGAUUUGCAAAAGGAACAAUAUUUCAAGUGCAUGAAAUGAGAAGAGAACCAUGUCUAUUAUGCAUAAAAGCUAUGGUAGAAAA